This 472-nucleotide ribosomal RNA is filed under the name uncultured bacterium. Its description in RNAcentral is "bacterial LSU rRNA". It matches the Rfam family "Bacterial large subunit ribosomal RNA", at positions 187 to 611 of the family's 2925-position model. The record is from RNAcentral.
GGGGAAGUGAAACAUCUCAGUACCCACAGGAAGAGAAAGCAACGCGAUUCCGUGAGUAGUGGCGAGCGAAAGCGGAAGAGGCUAAACCUCAGUUGUGUGAUACCUGUCAGGGGUUGCAGCGUGGGGGGUCGUGGGACUUCUUUUGUCAGUGCUGACACGCUGGCGUGGAGUACAAAAAUUUGCGUCAUAGUCGAAGGACUUUUGAAUGGUCCGGCAUAGAGGGUGCGACCCCCGUAGACGAAAUGUCGUGAACUCCAUUAAGAAGCACCCAAGUAGCACGGGGCCCGAGAAAUCCCCGUGUGAAUCUGGCGGGACCACCCGCUAAGCCUAAAAUAUUCCCUGGUGACCGAUAGCGGACAAGUACCGUGAGGGAAAGGUGAAAAGUACCCCGGGAGGGGAGUGAAAUAGAUCCUGAAACCGUUUGCCUACAAUCCGUUGGAGCCUCCUUGUGGGGUGACAGCGUGCCUUUUUG